This is a long non-coding RNA of Bombyx mori (domestic silkworm), 1341 nucleotides long. RefSeq lists it as uncharacterized. Lineage: Eukaryota; Metazoa; Arthropoda; Insecta; Lepidoptera; Bombycidae. The record is from RefSeq and is a predicted model, not a curated record. The transcript has 3 exons.
GCCGUUUUCAAUAACCUAUCUAUCCCUAGUUUCGGUUACUAAAGAUAGACAAAUCUAUAUUUUUGUCCUUACUUACGUUCCAAUAACCUAUCGACGGGCAGCAGUUCCUAUCGGAUUUAUCUAUCCAUCGUCGGGAGGACGGAUAGCCUGCUAAAGAUAGAACGCUCAUACAAAUCGUGCUUACUUCCGUUUCAAUAUGAGUUUUAAGUAACUCUACGGUAGGCGGCGCUAUCUCUAGUAUGGGCAUUCGCUUAUCUGUCAAAAUCGGCCGGUUACAUGUUUAUCUUUCGAAAGUAAAUCGCUAUAAUUUAAUAAUUGUUUCUCUUCAUAUUGGCAUAUUGUAGCAGUGAUGAUAGUGAUAUGGAAUUAUUUCAAAUGAUAAUGGAUUGUGAUGCAGAUAGUGAUAGUGAGGCCGAUAUCAUAUGGUUAGGAAAAUAAAGAUCGUCUGAAUUACAUGGCGAAGAUCAAUAAUUACGAAUUUGACUAUAGAUUUCUGAGCAAAGGUGUUGUGAAUGAAUUGAUUAAUUUAAUGAGACCAUAUUUGAGUGUAACGUCAAAAAGAUUCAAAUAUAGGAGAGGAAUUUAGAAAUAGAAAAAGAGUAUUUUGAAUGUGUAAUUUGUGUGCAAUGCAUCAUUGAUGUUUCAAAAUGUUGUUGCUUGAUGGCCUGGGUCUACUCAUGAUACAACUAUAAUUAACCAUUCCGAUUGAAAAGAUGCAUUGGUGUUUGUAAAAGAAGACUGUAUUAUCAUUGAAAAGUAGAUUAAAACUAGAAAAUAUGCAAGCUGUUAUUAUAGCUGCCAUGCUGCAUAAUAUCGUCAGGAGUAUGAAUUUAGAAGAAUUAGAAUCAGAAAUUUCAGUCGCAGAUACAUUACAGGAAAAUAAUAUAAUUGUUCGUAACAAUUUUCCAGAACGUACAUUUGAAAUACAACUACUUAUAAAUAAUUGCUUCCAAAGAUAAUUUAUAAAAUAAACUCCAAUGAUAAUUUGACUAUUUUUUAUUUUCCAAAAUGAUAAUUACAUAGUGGUUAGUACAUGCAAGAUAUUUAAUUUAGAAUUUGUACAUAUACUUAAAAAACUAUCUAACAUAAAAUUAUUAUUGCCUACUUAAUUUAUGAAAUCCUUUUAAGUAAUUUUUAAUUUUUUAAUCUAGCAUUAUCUAAAUCUAACUUAAGUUUUGCUACAACAAUCUCCUUUUCUUCAUUUUCCAAAUCAAGCCUCUUUUUUGCUAUUAGAUAUUCUGCUAAUACAUUGCAUUUCUUUUCUUCCAUCUUGUUUCCGCUUGGCUGUAAAAGUGUUAAAAAUAUAUGUGACCUACAACAAUGUGCAUGCUUUAUCCAAAA